CACGUAGGGCGCAAGCGUUGUCCGGAAUUAUUGGGCGUAAAGAGCUCGUAGGCGGCUUGUCGCGUCUGCUGUGAAAACUCGGGGCUUAACCCCGGGCCUGCAGUGGGUACGGGCAGACUAGAGUGCGGUAGGGGAGACUGGAAUUCCUGGUGUAGCGGUGAAAUGCGCAGAUAUCAGGAGGAACACCGGUGGCGAAGGCGGGUCUCUGGGCCGUAACUGACGCUGAGGAGCGAAAGCGUGGGGAGCGAACAGG
RNAcentral lists this ribosomal RNA (253 nucleotides) under uncultured bacterium. RNAcentral's name for it is "partial 16S ribosomal RNA". It matches the Rfam family "Bacterial small subunit ribosomal RNA", at positions 524 to 776 of the family's 1533-position model. The record is from RNAcentral.